GUAGGUGGCAAGCGUUGUCCGGAAUUAUUGGGCGUAAAGCGCGCGCAGGCGGUUCUUUAAGUCUGAUGUGAAAGCCCACGGCUCAACCGUGGAGGGUCAUUGGAAACUGGAGAACUUGAGUACAGAAGAGGAAAGCGGAAUUCCACGUGUAGCGGUGAAAUGCGUAGAGAUGUGGAGGAACACCAGUGGCGAAGGCGGCUUUCUGGUCUGUAACUGACGCUGAGGCGCGAAAGCGUGGGGAGCAAACAGGGAUUAGAUAACCUGGUAGUCCACGCCGUAAACGAUGAGUGCUAAGUGUUAGGGGGGUUUCCGCCCCCUUAGUGCUGCAGCUAACGCAUUAAGCACUCCGCCUGGGGAGUACGGCCGCAAGGCUG
Molecule: ribosomal RNA, 374 nt
Filed under: uncultured organism
Description: partial 16S ribosomal RNA
Rfam family: Bacterial small subunit ribosomal RNA
Source: RNAcentral